GNNGGCCNGGCAUCCUCAANAUAAUACUUCUAUUACUCGCCAGGGGACAACGAACUGAUUUUAUCCAAAAAAUAAUCAUUGUUUAUAACCCAAAGGACUUGGCGGUGCUUUAUACCCCCUAGAGGAGCCUGUUUUAGAAUCGAUACUCCCCGCUAAACCUCACCUUUUCUUGUUAUCCCAGCCUGUAUACCGCCGUCGUCAGUCUACCCUAUGAAGGAGCAGAAGUGGGCAAGAUCGUAGAUAUUACCAACAUGUCAGGUCAAGGUGCAGCUAAUGGAAAGGGAUUAAAUGGGCUACAUUUACUGACACAGUAAACUACGAAUGUUUCGCUAUGAAAGAGCAACUGAAGGAGGAUUUAGUAGUAAGAAGAGAGUAGAGUGCUCCUCUGAACUUUAAGGCCCUGAAGCGCGUACACACCGCCCCGUCACCCUCAAAA
Molecule: ribosomal RNA, 436 nt
Filed under: Lythrypnus elasson (dwarf goby)
Lineage: Eukaryota; Metazoa; Chordata; Actinopteri; Gobiiformes; Gobiidae
Description: partial 12S ribosomal RNA
Source: RNAcentral